Rhineura floridana is the source of this 916-nucleotide long non-coding RNA. RefSeq lists it as uncharacterized. NCBI's taxonomy places the organism in Eukaryota, Metazoa, Chordata, Lepidosauria, Squamata, Rhineuridae. The transcript is spliced from 2 exons. The record is from RefSeq and is a predicted model, not a curated record.
UUCCUGUUACCCUCAUUCCUCAGCCUAACUUAUGACCAAUGUAGUAUGCUGGCUCAGCUUUUCAAGGCUUAAGAGUUUGAGAUGGGAGGGGUUCCUGCUUAGCCUAGAGAGGACCACAUCUUCAGCAGAAAAAUCCACAGAGAUCUCCAGAAGGUUCAGCUAACAUUGCUAAGAACUUUAUGCCCAAAUGAGACCUCACCCUGCAUGAGAGAGGAAUAGCUACAGCAAAAUAUGAUGUAGAAAAUAUAGGCCCACUUGUUUCAACUGAAGGGCAGCAGUGAAAUGUCUAGAAUAAACAACAAUUGUCACGUAUUGAGAUUAUGCUUCUCCAGAAGAAAAUACCAAUGUGAUUGCAAGACAUCAUAAAGGAAAAUGAUCCUGUUAACUGGAAAUUGUAAGUCACUGAUGUGUUAUCUAUGAUCUUCAACACUGUAGUCCUCUUCUGUCACUUGCUUGAAGACUUUAUUUUGCAUGCCAUGAGCAAAAGGAAACCUUUUCUUGUCCUAAACACCAUGUGGAAGACUGCAUGUGGAAUUUUCUUUGAUAAAUCUGGGCAACAUUGAGUCUUUAAAAGACUCCUUACCUGGUGCAGAACUUACUCAAGACCAUGAAGGAUUUGAUUAAGGAGCAGGACUUUAUGAAGGUUACAGUCGUCUGAGGAGGAUUAUAAAUUGGCUGUUCUAGAUGGUGAAGAAAUGUGGUAUCUAGAAUAGCAAAGAAGACAGACAGUCACAUCAACAGGAAAAUCUCCACAUAGUACAAAUUAUCCUGGGGCAUUUUGUUUGAAGUCUCACUUCCUUUUUCAUGUUUUAAGAGUUUGUUUUGAAUAGUUUGCUUUUAUUACAUAUUUAUAUUAUGUAACAAUUAUUGUAAUUUUGUAUUUCUAUAAUAAAAAUUAAAACAUUUUUUCUUUUGA